GUGAGGAAUUUUCCGCAAUGGACGAAAGCCUGACGGAGCAAUGCCGCGUGAAGGAUGAAGGCCUAUGGGUUGUAAACUUCUUUUCUCAGAAAAGAAUUAUGACGGUAUCUGAGGAAUAAGCAUCGGCUAACUCUGUGCCAGCAGCCGCGGUAAGACAGAGGAUGCAAGCGUUAUCCGGAAUGAUUGGGCGUAAAGCGUCUGUAGGUUGUUUAAAAAGUAUUCUGUCAAAGAUUAGGGCUUAACCCUAGAUAGGCAGAAUAAACUUUUAAGCUAGAGUUUGGUAGAGGCAGAGGGAAUUCCCGGUGGAGCGGUGAAAUGCGUAGAUAUCGGGAGGAACACCAAAGGCGAAGGCACUCUGCUGGGCCAAUACUAACACUGAGAGACGAAAGCGAGGGGAGCAAAUGGGAUUAGAAACCCCAGUAGUCC
This 426-nucleotide ribosomal RNA is filed under the name uncultured bacterium. RNAcentral's name for it is "bacterial SSU rRNA". It matches the Rfam family "Bacterial small subunit ribosomal RNA", at positions 354 to 796 of the family's 1533-position model. The record is from RNAcentral.